This 944-nucleotide ribosomal RNA is filed under the name uncultured bacterium. Its description in RNAcentral is "bacterial SSU rRNA". It matches the Rfam family "Bacterial small subunit ribosomal RNA", at positions 8 to 953 of the family's 1533-position model. The record is from RNAcentral.
AGAGUUUGAUCCUGGCUCAGAGCGAACGCUGGCGGCGUGCUUAACACAUGCAAGUCGAGUGCGCGUCCGUAGCAAUACGGAUGGCGCACGGCGCACGGGUGCGUAACACGUGGGCAAUCUGCCCUCGGAUGGGGGAUACCCCCGCGAAAGCGGGACUAAUACCGCAUGACAUUCCGGAGACUCCGGUCUCUGGAUUCAAAGGCCGCAAGGCCGUCUGAGGAGGAGCCCGCGCCCGAUUAGCUUGUUGGCGGGGUAACGGCCCACCAAGGCUUUGAUCGGUAGCCGGUCUGAGAGGAUGGCCGGCCACACUGGAACUGAGACACGGUCCAGACUCCUACGGGAGGCAGCAGUGGGGAAUAUUGCGCAAUGGGCGAAAGCCUGACGCAGCGACGCCGCGUGGGGGAUGAAGCUUCUCGGAGUGUAAACCCCUUUCGACCCGGACGAAUGACCCGCAAGGGUUUGACGGUACGGGUAUAAGAAGCCCCGGCUAACUACGUGCCAGCAGCCGCGGUAAUACGUAGGGGGCCAGCGUUGCUCGGAAUUACUGGGCGUAAAGGGUUCGUAGGUGGUGCGGCAAGUUGGAAGUGAAAUCUCUGGGCUUAACUCAGAGGCUGCUUUCAAAACUGCCGUGCUCGAGUGCGGGAGAGGCCAGUGGAAAUUGCAGGUGUAGCGGUGAAAUGCGUAGAUAUCUGCAGGAACACCCGUGGCGAAUGCGGCUGGCUGGACCGCAACUGACACUGAGGAACGAAAGCUAGGGGAGCAAACAGGAUUAGAUACCCUGGUAGUCCUAGCCCUAAACCAUCAGAACUUGGGGUGGCCCGCGUAGGCGGGUCGUCCCGUAGCCUAACGCGUUAAGUUCUGCGCCUGGGGAGUACGGUCGCAAGACUGAAACUCAAAGGAAUUGACGGGGGCCCGCACAAGCGGUGGAACAUGUGGUCACUUCA